Molecule: ribosomal RNA, 281 nt
Filed under: uncultured bacterium
Lineage: Bacteria
Description: partial 16S ribosomal RNA
Rfam family: Bacterial small subunit ribosomal RNA
Source: RNAcentral
UCCCUACGGGAGGCAGCAGUGGGGGAUAUUGCACAAUGGGGGGAACCCUGAUGCAGCGACGCCGCGUGGGUGAAGGAGCGUUUCGGCGCGUAAAGCCCUAUCGGCAGGGAGGAAGAUGACGGUACCUGACCAAGAAGCCCCGGCUAACUACGUGCCAGCAGCCGCGGUAAUCCGUUGGGGGCCAGCGUUAUCCGGAUUUACUGGGUGUAAAGGGGGCGCAUACGGCGAUUCAAGCCUGGAGUGAAAUCCCGGGGCCCCACCCCGGGACUGCUCUUGGAACU